GGGCCGUAGCUCAGUGGAAGAACACCUGCUUUGAAUGCAGAAGGCCUCAGGUUCAAUCUCCAGGUAGGUCUG
Podarcis lilfordi (Lilford's wall lizard) is the source of this 72-nucleotide non-coding RNA. The record is from the annotation of a GenBank genome assembly. Lineage: Eukaryota; Metazoa; Chordata; Lepidosauria; Squamata; Lacertidae.